Molecule: ribosomal RNA, 253 nt
Filed under: uncultured bacterium
Lineage: Bacteria
Description: partial 16S ribosomal RNA
Rfam family: Bacterial small subunit ribosomal RNA
Source: RNAcentral
UACGUAGGGUGCAAGCGUUGUCCGGAAUUAUUGGGCGUAAAGAGCUCGUAGGCGGUCUGUCGCGUCUGCUGUGAAAACUCAGGGCUUAACCCUGAGCUUGCAGUGGGUACGGGCAGACUAGAGUUCGGUAGGGGAGACUGGAAUUCCUGGUGUAGCGGUGAAAUGCGCAGAUAUCAGGAGGAACACCGGUGGCGAAGGCGGGUCUCUGGGCCGAUACUGACGCUGAGGAGCGAAAGCGUGGGGAGCGAACAGG